RNAcentral lists this ribosomal RNA (497 nucleotides) under uncultured bacterium. Its description in RNAcentral is "partial 16S ribosomal RNA". It matches the Rfam family "Bacterial small subunit ribosomal RNA", at positions 28 to 507 of the family's 1533-position model. The record is from RNAcentral.
GAUGAACGCUGGCGGCGUGCCUAAUACAUGCAAGUCGAGCGAACAGAUGAGGAGCUUGCUCCGCUUACGUUAGCGGCGGACGGGUGAGUAACACGUGGAUAACCUACCUAUAAGACUGGGAUAACUUCGGGAAACCGGAGCUAAUACCGGAUAAUAUAGUGAACCGCAGGGUUCAAUAGUGAAAGACGGUUUUGCUGUCACUUAGAGAUGGAUCCGCGCCGCAUUAGCUAGUUGGUAAGGUAACGGCUUACCAAGGCAACGAUGCGUAGCCGACCUGAGAGGGUGAUCGGCCACACUGGAACUGAGACACGGUCCAGACUCCUACGGGAGGCAGCAGUAGGGAAUCUUCCGCAAUGGGCGAAAGCCUGACGGAGCAACGCCGCGUGAGUGAUGAAGGUCUUCGGAUCGUAAAACUCUGUUAGUAGGGAAGAACAAAUGUGUAAGUAACUAUGCACGUCUUGACGGUACCUAAUCAGAAAGCCACGGCUAACUACGUG